Molecule: ribosomal RNA, 1358 nt
Filed under: uncultured bacterium
Lineage: Bacteria
Description: bacterial SSU rRNA
Rfam family: Bacterial small subunit ribosomal RNA
Source: RNAcentral
GAUGAACGCUAGCUACAGGCUUAACACAUGCAAGUCGAGGGGCAGCAUGGUCUUAGCUUGCUAAGGCCGAUGGCGACCGGCGCACGGGUGAGUAACACGUAUCCAACCUGCCGUCUACUCUUGGACAGCCUCCUGAAAGGAAGAUUAAUACAAGAUGGCAUCAUGAGUCCACAUGUUCACAUGAUUAAAGGUAUUCCGGUAGACGAUGGGGAUGCGUUCCAUUAGAUAGUAGGCGGGGUAACGGCCCACCUAGUCUUCGAUGGAUAGGGGUUCUGAGAGGAAGGUCCCCCACAUUGGAACUGAGACACGGUCCAAACUCCUACGGGAGGCAGCAGUGAGGAAUAUUGGUCAAUGGGCGAGAGCCUGAACCAGCCAAGUAGCGUGAAGGAUGACUGCCCUAUGGGUUGUAAACUUCUUUUAUAAAGGAAUAAAGUCGGGUAUGGAUACCCGUUUGCAUGUACUUUAUGAAUAAGGAUCGGCUAACUCCGUGCCAGCAGCCGCGGUAAUACGGAGGAUCCGAGCGUUAUCCGGAUUUAUUGGGUUUAAAGGGAGCGUAGAUGGAUGUUUAAGUCAGUUGUGAAAGUUUGCGGCUCAACCGUAAAAUUGCAGUUGAUACUGGAUAUCUUGAGUGCAGUUGAGGCAGGCGGAAUUCGUGGUGUAGCGGUGAAAUGCUUAGAUAUCACGAAGAACUCCGAUUGCGAAGGCAGCCUGCUAAGCUGCAACUGACAUUGAGGCUCGAAAGUGUGGGUAUCAAACAGGAUUAGAUACCCUGGUAGUCCACACGGUAAACGAUGAAUACUCGCUGUUUGCGAUAUACAGCAAGCGGCCAAGCGAAAGCGUUAAGUAUUCCACCUGGGGAGUACGCCGGCAACGGUGAAACUCAAAGGAAUUGACGGGGGCCCGCACAAGCGGAGGAACAUGUGGUUUAAUUCGAUGAUACGCGAGGAACCUUACCCGGGCUUAAAUUGCAGAUGAAUUACGGUGAAAGCCGUAAGCCGCAAGGCAUCUGUGAAGGUGCUGCAUGGUUGUCGUCAGCUCGUGCCGUGAGGUGUCGGCUUAAGUGCCAUAACGAGCGCAACCCUUGUUGUCAGUUACUAACAGGUUCCGCUGAGGACUCUGACAAGACUGCCAUCGUAAGAUGUGAGGAAGGUGGGGAUGACGUCAAAUCAGCACGGCCCUUACGUCCGGGGCUACACACGUGUUACAAUGGGGGGUACAGAGGGCCGCUACCACGCGAGUGGAUGCCAAUCCCAAAAACCUCUCUCAGUUCGGACUGGAGUCUGCAACCCGACUCCACGAAGCUGGAUUCGCUAGUAAUCGCGCAUCAGCCACGGCGCGGUGAAUACGUUCCCGGGCCU